Sphaerobolus stellatus SS14 is the source of this 72-nucleotide transfer RNA. It matches the Rfam family "tRNA". Rfam says of the family: Transfer RNA (tRNA) molecules are approximately 80 nucleotides in length. NCBI's taxonomy places the organism in Eukaryota, Fungi, Basidiomycota, Agaricomycetes, Geastrales, Sphaerobolaceae. The record is from Rfam.
GGCCGCCUGGCGAAAUGGCAUCGCAUCUGACUACGAACCAGGAGAAUGUAGGUUCGAGCCCUGCGGUGGUCA